RNAcentral lists this long non-coding RNA (816 nucleotides) under Homo sapiens (human). RNAcentral's name for it is "HSALNT0397735". The record is from RNAcentral. Lineage: Eukaryota; Metazoa; Chordata; Mammalia; Primates; Hominidae.
AGCUGCACGCGACCCAGGUGCUGGCCUCUGAGCGGGUCGGCUCGGAGACUACAGGAUCAGGAGGAGGUUGGAGGUGAAGCGUCUGGAAUCCGGUAAAGAUGGACACCUGCAUGAGGGAAGGAAUAUGUGAGCAGCUUCCAUUUCCCUUCCAUGGUCUUCUCAGCUUCCUCCAACAGUAGAUUGUUCAGCCUCCCUAAAGCAGGAGAAGAGGAAGGGGAAGAAAGGUGUUUUUCCGGGUUUCUAAGCAAAUACCUUGCUGCAGAUCUUCAACUGCAGGGGAGGGCAUGUUGCCAGAACAUCCUGUUUACAGAGGCCACUUAAAAUCCUUACGUUAACCCUAGGCAUACUGUGGUCAUCCUUUUCUGGUGGGUCACAUUGGCCCUCCAGAAGUUCUCUAGAACAGGAUCCAAGAUCUCCUGAGGUCAGCUCACUCCGUAUGGUCCAUAUCCUGUCACCACGUGGGAAUUAAGUUCCUAUCUCUGUUUCUCCUAAAUGGCAGGAAAAAAGGUAAAGUUCUCCUAAGAACUCUCUUAACACACUCCCCUUUGGAUCUUAGAGGGACUGGGAUGGAUCGGGUCAACUUGCUUGGUUUGAUUAGAGGAGGAAACACCCACCUCCUUUCCUCAGGGUGCUGAGAACACACCCACAGCUCUUCCCAAAAAUAGUCUCACCUCACAAAAAGUCCUCUUCCUCAGCCUCCCCAGCCUCUCACAUGUCCUUGAGGUAUGUUGAACUGUAGCAAAAAUUGUUUAUAGCCAGUUUCUUUUUUUUAAUUUUAAUUUUUUAAAAUAUGGUCAGCUGGGCGCAGUGGCUGCC